CCUUCGAUAGCUCAGCUGGAAGAGCGUGGGACUGUAACGGAUAACUCUGGCAACGCUAUCCCAAGGUCGCUGGUUCGACCCCGGCUCGAAGGA
Non-coding RNA from Lactifluus subvellereus, 93 nucleotides. The record is from the annotation of a GenBank genome assembly. Lineage: Eukaryota; Fungi; Basidiomycota; Agaricomycetes; Russulales; Russulaceae.